AUUGAACGCUGGCGGCAGGCCUAACAUAUGCAAGUCGUGCGGAUGAAGGGAGCUUGCUCCUGGAUUCAGCGGCGGACGGGUGAGUAAUGCCUAGGAAUCUGCCUGGUAGUGGGGGAUAACGUCCGGAAACGGGCGCUAAUACCGCAUACGUCCUGCGGGAGAAAGUGGGGGAUCUUCGGACCUCACGCUAUCAGAUGAGCCUAGGUCGGAUUAGCUAGUUGGUGGGGUAAAGGCCUACCAAGGCGACGAUCCGUAACUGGUCUGAGAGGAUGAUCAGUCACACUGGAACUGAGACACGGUCCAGACUCCUACGGGAGGCAGCAGUGGGGAAUAUUGGACAAUGGGCGAAAGCCUGAUCCAGCCAUGCCGCGUGUGUGAAGAAGGUCUUCGGAUUGUAAAGCACUUUAAGUUGGGAGGAAGGGCAGUAAGUUAAUACCUUGCUGUUUUGACGUUACCAACAGAAUAAGCACCGGCUAACUUCGUG
RNAcentral lists this ribosomal RNA (484 nucleotides) under uncultured bacterium. RNAcentral's name for it is "partial 16S ribosomal RNA". It matches the Rfam family "Bacterial small subunit ribosomal RNA", at positions 30 to 507 of the family's 1533-position model. The record is from RNAcentral.